AAACAAAAAAAAGACAAUGAAAGCAAUGAUUAAGAAUACAUAUUGGUGGUGGCGCCCGUUACAACUCCGACAGUCGUAAGGGAGCAGCGCUCGUAUGUACCUAUAUCAAAUAAAGAUGGAACCAGAAAGCCCUG
Molecule: non-coding RNA, 134 nt
Filed under: uncultured Bacteroides sp.
Lineage: Bacteria; Pseudomonadati; Bacteroidota; Bacteroidia; Bacteroidales; Bacteroidaceae
Description: Bacteroidete tryptophan peptide leader RNA
Rfam family: Bacteroidete tryptophan peptide leader RNA
Source: RNAcentral